GUCUAGUUGGAUUUGCUUGAACUUUUGCUGUUUAUAUACUUAUGGAUUUACUAAACAGCGACCGAUUUUAGGAUCGUGGAUAAUCGGACCUCAUUUACACGGUUUUUAGAAAGUAUUGUGAUUAGUUCAUUUGAGAUGUCCUAUUCCUAUUGUAGACGACUUACCUUAUGGACUCGUUUCCGACUGUGGAUUAGCAUCCAAUUCAAAAUAAAGACCAAAUUUGACAAGA
Non-coding RNA from Drosophila virilis, 229 nucleotides. NCBI's taxonomy places the organism in Eukaryota, Metazoa, Arthropoda, Insecta, Diptera, Drosophilidae. The record is from RefSeq and is a predicted model, not a curated record.